CAAUGUAGCCACUUCAUACUGGGGACCUUGUCUGGGAUACCAAGGUACAGCAUUCAUCAAAAAGGUGAGUAGAGGAGCAGACUUGAACUCUGUCCUUUCAUUUUGGGGCUCUCAGCCUCCAUUUUAGGACCAAAUGAAAUCAAUAGCAGGCAUUCAUCAGCCAAUUAAAAACAUGGUUAGUGUGGCUGCCGCUCUUAAAGACUUAGAUGUGGGGCUUAUUGGAGAGAACAUGGAGCAUCCCCCAGCAACCACAGGUUGCUGGGCAUGUUGGCCAUGUUUGAACCAGCUUCCUUUCGUGGAGGACUUAGCUGUCACAUGGGACUGGAAGAGAUUUUGGAGCAACUGAGGAUUUCUGGCUGGAGCUACCCCCUGGUGUUAUCUAAAGGCUUCUGGACUGACCCCAGCCUUUGACUGCCCGAUGGGAUGUCGGCAACAGGAUCUCCAACUUUCCUAUCGUAAUUUCCUCCUUCCCUGUCUGUGACCACCAUAUAUCCUAUCUUCUCUGUGUAUGCAAUGUGUGGGAUGUUUUACAGUUCAGGGAAGUAAUCUUGUUUGGCAAGAUCAGGGAAUGUCAUAGUAAAUGGGGAUAU
RNAcentral lists this long non-coding RNA (590 nucleotides) under Homo sapiens (human). Its description in RNAcentral is "non-protein coding lnc-ARNT2-2:1". The record is from RNAcentral. Lineage: Eukaryota; Metazoa; Chordata; Mammalia; Primates; Hominidae.